This 3594-nucleotide long non-coding RNA is filed under the name Hordeum vulgare. RNAcentral describes it as "long non-coding RNA (HVUL_LNC007472)". Lineage: Eukaryota; Viridiplantae; Streptophyta; Magnoliopsida; Poales; Poaceae. The record is from RNAcentral.
UCAUUCAUUCAAUCCAUAGUGUGUUGGUCCUUCAUUCGUUCGCUGCCACUACUACGUCACACAUGUACGCAUAGGAACACACAAGAAAAAGAAGAAGUAGGGAGGCCAGCGUUCCACUUCUACAAGUGAGAAGGUGGGAAUCAUGGCUCUCCCCUAGCCCAUGGUUCGGCCACCACAGUACGAGCCAUGGAGAUUUCUUCUUCCUCCUCUCUCAAGACUCUAACCCUUGAUUCAGCCAUUGCUGUAUAAAUUAAGGUGCUGGUUUCAUCUCUUCAAAGUUUUUUUCUUGGUUCGGUCAUCACGGUACAAAUCAAGUUGCUUGUUUCAUCCCAAAUAUUCGUCCUUGAUUUGGCCGUCGCGGUACAAAUUGAUGAGCAUGUUAUAUUUACCUCAAAUCCAUGUCUUUGGUUCGGCCAUCACGGUACGAACCAAAGAGCAUGCAUGGUUUUACAUACUCUUCGUCUUAAUGAUCAUCAUCUUGGUUCGCCCAUCGCGGUACGAGCCAAGGAGCAUGCAUGGUCAUUUUACAUGCCGCAUACUCUUCGUCUUAAUGAUCCUCUUCUUGGUUCGGUCUCCUUAGCGGUACAAGCGAAGAUGAACGUAAAUCUUGUUCCUUCCGUAUACGUGGAUACAAAUCAAAGAAUAUCAUAAGGACAUGAACUUCAUGAAAAUUGCCAUAGUUUGGUCAUCAUAAAAAAUGUUAUGAUCAAGUUGGAAUGAAAUUAUGAAUAUGCAAAACUGAACACAUAAUAAGAUUCUUUCUCGGUUACGUUACGAACAUUACGUAUCAUGCUAGUUGUAAUAUGUGUAAGAAUAUACGAAAACAAACCUUCACUUGGUUACGCUGCGCAUGAGUAUUAUCCUAAUUCUACGCGGUGUUAGCAUUAAUACAAGCAAGGCAAUACCUAAUUAAAAUACGUGUUCAUGUUACAAGAUAUAUUAUAAAACAUGACACAUGUCAUAAAUCAAUCUUGCUUGGUUACGCUACACGCGAACACGGUAUGAGUGUUAUGCAAUGUUAGUAGUAAUACAAGUAAGAUAAAACUAGACAAAAAUCCGGGCUACACAUUUGCCCAAAUUCAUAUAAAAGAUGUGGUAAGAUGCUCCAAGGCCAUAAGAGCUAAACUAUUAGCACCACCAAAAUCGCAUGUCAUAAAACAAUCUUACUUUCUCACGCUACAUAGGGACACUAUAUGAGUGUUACGUCAUGUUAGUACUAGUACAAGUAAUAUAAAUCCAAAUAAAUGUUAAGCCACAAAUUUUGAUCAAUGUCAUAUAAAAUACAUUAAUAAAAUGGCCCAAUGUACAAGAGCCUAAAACUAUUAGCAUCACCAAAAUCGCAUGUCAUAAACCAAUCUUACUUGGUUACCCUACACAAAGACACAGUAUGAGUGUUAUGCCAUGUUAGUUGUAAUACAAGUGAGAUAAACCUAAAGAAAAUAUCAGGGCCACACAUUUUGUCCAAAGUCAUUUAUAUGCCAUAAAAAUACUCCACUUCUAUAAGAGCAUAAACUAUUAGCAUCAUCAAAUUGCACAUCAUAUAAAAUUGAUUUUACUUGGUUAUGCUACACACGGACAUGCUAUUAUUAUCAUGCGGUGUUAGUAGUAAUACAACUAAGGUAAAUACAACUAAAUGUCAAUCCCAUAAAUUCAGGACAAAGUCAUAUAAAAGAUAUUGAUAAAAUGCUCCAAUGUUAUACUAGCCUAAACUAUUAGCAUCAUCACAAACUCGCUUUACUUUGGUUAUACUACACACGGACCGCAAUCUAAUAACGUUACAUGGAGUUAGUCUUAAUACCAUGCAAGAUACAAAUAUAAAAAAAUGGUAAAUGUCAUAUGACUCAUGUAGUAUUAAAACUCCUCCAUACACCUUCAAUUGGUUACGCUACAUGCGGGCUUUGUCUUAGUGCUACGUGGUUUUGUAGUAAUACAAGUAAGGCGAAAUUCAAUAAAAAUGUGUUCAUAUCACAUACAUAUAGGUACACACAAUUUGUGCAAAGAUUAUGAUGAAGAAUAUUUCAUGUAGCCUAUGUAGUCUUUAAACAAACAAAAUAUAAUAAAUAGACUUCACUUCGGCCCACCUACAUAUAGAUGUCAUAUUACUGCACCGCGUAGUUAGUGUUGGUAGCGUGUGAAUUCAAAACCAACAAAAUAUGUCAUAUAUCAUAUGCACCAUAAAAAACAUCAAGAUUGUAUCAGAAAGCUAUAGUCUCUUACGCUACACGCGGGCACCACAUCAGUAUUACGCGAUGAUAGUAGUAAUGUGAUGAUAAAAAUUUAUCAAAGUUGGCAUGUAACAUACAUUCACGCUGUAAUAACCAAAUAUAUAACAUACGAUACAGACGGGAAAUUAUGUACACAUCCUAUGUGUCGAAUAUAGGAUAACAUCAUACCUAGCCAAAAUCAACUUCAUUCUGCAUAUAAAUGUGGUUGGACACAACUAAAUUUGUUGUAUGCUAGGAAGAUAUAUGACAAAACAUGAAACAUCAAAUCAUGAAGGAUUAUUCGCAUAAUAGCAAACAUCAAGUUCGCCAAGCAUGAGUUCAUCGACGAUCGCGGGGAUGAUUUUCUUGUAGCAUAUUUUAAUAGGAAUGUGUUGCAAUCUUAUGUAAUAUAUAUGUUGGAAUUCUUAAUCAGGGGAUUUCUCUCCGAAGAUGUAAUUAACAGAAUUUUAUAUAAAUAUAAGAGUUCUAGAAAUAAGUACCUACAAUAUUUGAUCUUCAUUUUAUUUUAUGCAUUGUACGCGCUAUAUUUAUUCACUCUUUAUCAAUGAUGUGGACGUGUGUUCUCCCGCCCGCCAUUUUCCCAUCAUCGCAUUCUGGCACGCCUAGUUUGACCUAUUUCGCCCCUCAUCUUUGAAUUCCUAGAUAGGAUUAUAACACAUGAAUUUCCAUAGUACAUAAGCAAAAAAUGGUAUGUAUGCAUAUACAAAAAAAAGGAUACAGGCGAAGAAAACUAAUAUAUGGUUCUCUUUAUUUUGAAGGUAUGGAGGGACAAGUCCAGGAGUUCGUCACUCUCCGCUUUGGUGACCUCUCACUCAACGUGUGAAUUUGUCCGCUGGUGGCCUUAGUUAGCAAGAGUUUGGAAAUGACAGCUGCAUCCCAGACUGGGCUAGAAGAAAGGGAAGUCUCCUCUGCAUUAAAGGAAGAAUUUAUUCAUGUUGUCACAAAGUCAGCAAAGAGAAGGAUGCGUGCAGCCACAAGAGCAUCUAAGGAUGACCAUGCAUUCAAAGUUGCUUCAUCUACUUCAGUUCCUCCUGCUUUCACAAAAAUGUCACCUACCAACACUAGUGCAGAAUCAGUUAAUAGUCCCGGUUCGUAAGGACCUUUGUGCCGGUUCUACAACCGGCACUAAAGGGUGGGGACUAAAGGCCCCCCUUUAGUGUCGGUUCGUCACGAACCGGGACCGAAUGCCCACCAUGUGGCACGAGCCCGCACCGGGGGGUUGUGGGCCUUUAGUCCCACUUGGUUACGCCAAUUGAUACUAAAAGGUUUAGGGGUUUGUGUUUCUGGUUUAUUUUUCCUUUUAAUUUUGGGCUUUCCAUUUAAUUCUUUUUCAUUUGAAACAUAUAUUAUGCUACUACAUAUUCUACAC